This 478-nucleotide ribosomal RNA is filed under the name uncultured bacterium. RNAcentral's name for it is "partial 16S ribosomal RNA". It matches the Rfam family "Bacterial small subunit ribosomal RNA", at positions 28 to 523 of the family's 1533-position model. The record is from RNAcentral.
GACGAGCGCUGGCGGCGUGCUUAACACAUGCAAGUCGAACGGUAAGGCCCUUCGGGGUACACGAGUGGCGAACGGGUGAGUAACACGUGGGUGAUCUGCCCUGCACUUCGGGAUAAGCCUGGGAAACUGGGUCUAAUACCGGGUAGGACCACUGCCUGCAUGGGUGGUGGUGGAAAGCUUUUGCGGUGUGGGAUGGGCCCGCGGCCUAUCAGCUUGUUGGUGGGGUGAUGGCCUACCAAGGCGACGACGGGUAGCCGGCCUGAGAGGGUGACCGGCCACACUGGGACUGAGAUACGGCCCAGACUCCUACGGGAGGCAGCAGUGGGGAAUAUUGCACAAUGGGCGCAAGCCUGAUGCAGCGACGCCGCGUGAGGGAUGGCGGCCUUCGGGUUGUAAACCUCUUUCAGCACCGACGAAGCGCAAGUGACGGUAGGUGCAGAAGAAGGACCGGCCAACUACGUGCCAGCCGCCGCAGUAA